UUAGAGUUUGAUCCUGGCUCAGGACGAACGCUGGCGGCGUGCCUAACACAUGCAAGUCGAGCGAAUGAAAUUCCUUCGGGAACGGAUUUAGCGGCGGACGGGUGAGUAACACGUGGGCAACCUGCCUCAUAGAGGGGAAUAGCCUUCCGAAAGGGAGAUUAAUACCGCAUAAGAUUGUAGUACCGCAUGGUACAGCAAUUAAAGGAGCAAUCCGCUAUGAGAUGGGCCCGCGGCGCAUUAGCUAGUUGGUGAGGUAACGGCUCACCAAGGCGACGAUGCGUAGCCGACCUGAGAGGGUGAUCGGCCACAUUGGGACUGAGACACGGCCCAGACUCCUACGGGAGGCAGCAGUGGGGAAUAUUGCACAAUGGGGGAAACCCUGAUGCAGCAACGCCGCGUGAGUGAUGACGGCCUUCGGGUUGUAAAGCUCUGUCUUCAGGGACGAUAAUGACGGUACCUGAGGAGGAAGCCACGGCUAACUACGUGCCAGCAGCCGCGGUAAUACGUAGGUGGCGAGCGUUGUCCGGAUUUACUGGGCGUAAGGGGAGCGGAGGCGGAUUUUUAAGUGAGAUGUGAAAUACUCGGGCUUAACCUGAGUGCUGCUUUUCAAGCUGGAAGUCCUAGAGUGCAGGAAAGGAGAAGGGAUUUCCUAGUGUACCCGGUGAAAUGGCUAAAAAUUAAAAAAAACCCCCAGGGGCGAAAGGGGCCUUCCCGGGACUGGAAAUGACCCCUGAAGGCUCAAAAGGGGGGGGGGAACAAAAAAGGAAUUAAACCCCCCGGUA
This 782-nucleotide ribosomal RNA is filed under the name uncultured bacterium. RNAcentral's name for it is "partial 16S ribosomal RNA". It matches the Rfam family "Bacterial small subunit ribosomal RNA", at positions 1 to 792 of the family's 1533-position model. The record is from RNAcentral.